Molecule: ribosomal RNA, 253 nt
Filed under: uncultured bacterium
Lineage: Bacteria
Description: partial 16S ribosomal RNA
Rfam family: Bacterial small subunit ribosomal RNA
Source: RNAcentral
UACGUAGGAUGCAAGCGUUGUCCGGAAUUAUUGGGCGUAAAGAGUUCGUAGGCGGUCUGUUAAGUCUGGUGUUAAAGACGGGAGCUCAACUCCCGCAUGGCAUUGGAUACUGGCAGGCUAGAGUGCGGUAGAGGUCUCGGGAAUUCCAGGUGUAGCGGUGAAAUGCGUAGAUAUCUGGAGGAACACCGGUGGCGAAGGCGGGUCUCUGGGCCGUAACUGACGCUGAGGAGCGAAAGCGUGGGGAGCGAACAGG